This 116-nucleotide ribosomal RNA is filed under the name Pteropus alecto (black flying fox). The record is from RNAcentral. Lineage: Eukaryota; Metazoa; Chordata; Mammalia; Chiroptera; Pteropodidae.
GUCUAUGGCCAUGCCACCAUGAACAAGCCCGAUGUCUGAUCUCGGAAGCUAAGCAGGGUCAGGCCUGGUUAGUACUUGGAUGGGAGACCAUCUAUGAAGACCAGGUGCUAUAAGCA